ACCGCGUCGCUGGGAGCCUCAGGAGUCAUCACAGAUAAGUUUUGUUGCAUUUUGGCAGUGGUCAGUUGCGGCCGCUGGAAGUGGGCCACUUGCAACAAUUAUGUCCGGCCGGCGUUGCAGGUUCUCGGUUUCAGCAUCCCUCGCCUCCGUCGUUUGUUGAAGAUAAGAAGUAUCAUCAGUGGCAAGAAUGUAAUCCCGCGCAGCUGUCAUUGAGUUUUUGUAGAGCUGCUGGCAUUAUGAUGGUGGAGUUCAUCUCGUUGUGGCAGAGAAGUCGUCAGUGAGGAUUGUGGCUCGGUCGGUCACCGAGAGAAGCCAGAUGCGCCGCGUCUUAUGGCCGUAUCGUCAGGAGUGGCAGCUUGGGGCCGCCAGUUCAAGAUUUGUAGCAGAGGUCCGUCGCAACGGUAUAGGCAUGGAAAUGGAUGUAAAAAUAUUGUUUGGUACAUUGAGUGUAAUUUAAUUUAAGGUACUUAAGGAGGAAGUCUGGCUGGGGUGAGUAUUGUAUUGCUAUUGUAAUUGCGUUGAUUUUCUUUUUGCUUUUCAGGUACGUUUUGUAAGCGCUAAUUUGGGGGACCUUUGUUAUUAUGCAAUUGCAGCUGGGAUGCAGCGGUUUUGGAGUCGUCAAGUUUGCAAUUAGAUAAGUAUUAUAUUAUAAUUAUAUUUUUCCCAGUAAUAGCUUGUGUUCCCUUGUUUCAAUAGUUGUGGUCUUGGAAGCUGGAGCU
This is a long non-coding RNA of Drosophila simulans, 719 nucleotides long. RefSeq lists it as uncharacterized. The record is from RefSeq and is a predicted model, not a curated record. Lineage: Eukaryota; Metazoa; Arthropoda; Insecta; Diptera; Drosophilidae. The transcript has 3 exons.